RNAcentral lists this ribosomal RNA (460 nucleotides) under uncultured bacterium. RNAcentral describes it as "partial 16S ribosomal RNA". It matches the Rfam family "Bacterial small subunit ribosomal RNA", at positions 338 to 795 of the family's 1533-position model. The record is from RNAcentral.
CCUACGGGUGGCAGCAGUGAGGAAUAUUGGUCAAUGGGCGCGAGCCUGAACCAGCCAAGUCGCGUGAAGGAUGACUGCCCUACGGGUUGUAAACUUCUUUUAUAAAGGAGUAAAGUGAGGGACGUGUCCCGCUUUGUAUGUACCUUAUGAAUAAGCAUCGGCUAACUCCGUGCCAGCAGCCGCGGUAAUACGGAGGAUGCGAGCGUUAUCCGGAUUUAUUGGGUUUAAAGGGAGCGUAGAUGGGUUGUUAAGGCAGGUGUUAAAGUUUGCGGCUCAACCGUAAAAUUGCAGUUGAUACUGGCAGUCUUGAGUACAGUAGAGGUAGGCGGAAUGCGUGGUGUAGCGGUGAAAUGCUUAGAUAUCACGAAGAACUCCGAUUGCGAAGGCAGCUUACUAGACUGCAACUGACAUUGAUGCUCGAAAGUGUGGGUAUCAAACAGGAUUAGAUACCCGGGUAGUC